GUCGAGGGGCAGCGGAGAGGUAGCAAUACCUUUGCCGGCGACCGGCGCACGGGUGAGUAACACGUAUGCAAUCCACCUGUAACAGGGGGAUAACCCGGAGAAAUCCGGACUAAUACCCCAUAAUAUGGGCUCUCCGCAUGGAGGGUCCAUUAAAGAGAGCAAUUUUGGUUACAGACGAGCAUGCGCUCCAUUAGCCAGUUGGCGGGGUAACGGCCCACCAAAGCGACGAUGGAUAGGGGUUCUGAGAGGAAGGUCCCCCACAUUGGAACUGAGACACGGUCCAAACUCCUACGGGAGGCAGCAGUGAGGAAUAUUGGUCAAUGGGCGGAAGCCUGAACCAGCCAAGUAGCGUGAAGGACGACUGCCCUAUGGGUUG
RNAcentral lists this ribosomal RNA (376 nucleotides) under uncultured bacterium. Its description in RNAcentral is "bacterial SSU rRNA". It matches the Rfam family "Bacterial small subunit ribosomal RNA", at positions 61 to 425 of the family's 1533-position model. The record is from RNAcentral.